GUGCUUGCAUUGGCAGCAGAUAUACUAAAAUUGGAGUGAUACAGGGAAAAUUUCACAGAGGGGUCUGUGCAAGGGUGACUAGCAAAUUCAUGAAGCAUUUUUUAUUUAA
Nomascus leucogenys (northern white-cheeked gibbon) is the source of this 109-nucleotide small nuclear RNA. The record is from Ensembl. NCBI's taxonomy places the organism in Eukaryota, Metazoa, Chordata, Mammalia, Primates, Hylobatidae.